AGUCGAGGGGUAUGGCAGCAAUGCCAGAGACCGGCGCACGGGUGCGUAACGCGUAUGCAAUCUACCUUUUACAGGGGAAUAGCCCAGAGAAAUUUGGAUUAAUGCCCCAUAGCAUAUAGAGAUCGCAUGGUUUUUAUAUUAAAGUUCCAACGGUAAAAGAUGAGCAUGCGUCCCAUUAGUUAGUUGGUAAGGUAACGGCUUACCAAGACGAUGAUGGGUAGGGGUCCUGAGAGGGAGAUCCCCCACACUGGUACUGAGACACGGACCAGACUCCUACGGGAGGCAGCAGUGAGGAAUAUUGGACAAUGGGCGCAAGCCUGAUCCAGCCAUGCCGCGUGCAGGAUGAAGCAUCUAUGGUGUGUAAACUGCUUUUGUACGGGAAGAAACCCUGGCUCGUGAGCCAGAUUGACGGUACCGUAAGAAUAAGGAUCGGCUAACUCCGUGCCAGCAGCCGCGGUAAUACGGAGGAUCCAAGCGUUAUCCGGAAUCAUUGGGUUUAAAGGGUCCGUAGGCGGCCCAGUAAGUCAGUGGUGAAAUCUCCCGGCUCAACCGGGAAAUUGCCCUUGAUACUGCUGGGCUUGAAUUACCAGGAAGUAACUAGAAUAUGUAGUGUAGCGGUGAAAUGCUUAGAGAUUACAUGGAAUACCAAUUGCGAAGGCAGGUUACUACUGGCGGAUUGACGCUGAUGGACGAAAGCGUGGGUAGCGAACAGGAUUAGAUACCCUGGUAGUCCACGCCGUAAACGAUGGAUACUAGCUGUUGGGGCAACCUCAGUGGCUAAGCGAAAGUGAUAAGUAUCCCACCUGGGGAGUACGGGCGCAAGCCUGAAACUCAAGGAAUUGACGGGGG
This 849-nucleotide ribosomal RNA is filed under the name uncultured Bacteroidota bacterium. RNAcentral describes it as "bacterial SSU rRNA". It matches the Rfam family "Bacterial small subunit ribosomal RNA", at positions 60 to 919 of the family's 1533-position model. Lineage: Bacteria; Pseudomonadati; Bacteroidota. The record is from RNAcentral.